This 26-nucleotide unclassified non-coding RNA is filed under the name Mus musculus (house mouse). Its description in RNAcentral is "oocyte_clustered_small_RNA3110". The record is from RNAcentral. Lineage: Eukaryota; Metazoa; Chordata; Mammalia; Rodentia; Muridae.
GGGGCACUAGGUACUGACCACUGUCG